UUUCCUUUUCCUUUUCCUUUUCCUUUUCCUUUUCCUUUUCCUCUCCCAUGGCUCACUUCCGUGCCCUCCUCUGGGCUUUCCCAGAAUGAAAGGCUCUGCUGACCUUUGAACAGUCCGUGUUGAGAAUGUCACUGCAGAGCUCCUUAAUCUCACGGUGGCGCCUGGCUAAUGCAGAGAUGGGCACUGAAAUGCUGAAAAACAGACAGACAGAUAGAGAGAUAAGAUUAGAUACAGGAGUAACUUAGUCACUCAUCAUACAGAGCAGCUGACAUAAGUUCAUUUGUAAAGCCAACUGCUAAAAUUGCUUUAGAAGUCCUUACAUUUGAAUUCUGUUAAAGGCAGAGCUUUGAUCUGAAUUGUUUUGGUGGCAUGUGCAUGAUUUGAAUGGAAGCUCACCUGGGCAGGUAGUACCAGACCGGUCAUUCCUGGCAUUCUCUUCCACGGGGGAGCAGUGUCCAUGCAAAUCCAUCCCUUUGGGUAGCUCGGGGCAGGCAGAUAACUGAGCAUCAUGGAGCAGACAUACACUGAAGGCAUCAGCUCCGUGCUAUGCUGAUAUGCAGAAUGAAUCAUGGCUAAUAAAAGGUUCAAACAACCAUAUAUAUGACUAAAUGUAACCCCAAAACACUCCUAAGUUAGGCGUGAUCAGAAAAUAAAGGCAGAAAAAUUAAUAGAUAAGUGUUAUUCCUUCUCUUUUUCAUUAAUAUUUAUUAAAUCACACUGUGGGGGAAAUGGAGGAGGAAGGGAAAUAAAACAGACCUGUCCAAUUCCCUAUUGUUUAUACCACUUCUUUAUUUCUUGCAUUCAUUGCAGGGGAAAUUAUUUACAUUUGCAUGUUAUGUUUUGUAAUUUGGCAUUAAAAAUUCUCAAAGACACUUCCUAGGGCAGUUUAUUUUUGAAGUGGGUUAUUUGUUUUCACCCUAAAUACGAGGCCACAGAAGCAUUGCCAGCGAUGGAAGGGGCAAGGGAGUCAACAGGAAGGUGUGGAGCUGGUUGGUGCCUGUGCUCCUCUGGGGGCAUCCCCAGCACUGACCCGUGCAGGGCUCAGUCCCUCCGAAGCAAAAGCUGCCAGGUGCAUGGAUGAACCACAGCUAGAUCACUGCAGGUCUUAAUUAGUGACUGCUGAACUCUCAGGAGAUUCUGCGGCUGAAUUAGGAUAAGCACUCACAGUUCAAAUGUUAAGCAAAGUCUCUCGGGUUAUAAUGAUGGAAGUCACUCUCUGGAGCGGGCUUGCUCAUCCCAUUUUUAAUAUUUCCUGGCUGAACCACUGCACAAACAGCAGCUGGCACAGAGAGC
This 1293-nucleotide long non-coding RNA is filed under the name Taeniopygia guttata (zebra finch). RNAcentral describes it as "lncRNA (ENSTGUG00000020694.1)". Lineage: Eukaryota; Metazoa; Chordata; Aves; Passeriformes; Estrildidae. The record is from RNAcentral.